AAACAGAGGAGUAGCAAAAUGGGAGGAAGGUGCUGUGACUAAAUGAAGGAAGGCUGAGGGGUUAAAAUCAUUGCUGGGUGAUUUCACCACUACUGCCCCAUAUUCAUACUCUCGGUAAAUGAAUGAGGAGAGCCCCAUGUGGGAUUACAAACUUGCUGGAAAUGGAUGAGAAACCUUCUGCUCUGCUGGAGUUUAUCUUGAGUGUGCCUUAAAAUUCCAUUUCAUGGAGAACUGUGCGUGGUUGAAUUUUGAUUGAUUACUCAAUUAACUGAUGUAUUGGUAGAGUGAUUAAGAAAGAAGACUUUGGGAUCAGACCAACCUGGUUUUGAAUUCAAGCUCAGCAACUUACUAGGUAAGGAGGAGAAAAGAAAGAAGGAAAAAUUGGAAAGAUAAAUGGGGUCUUUCCAGUGAAGCCUCCAGGCCUCCAGACUGGAACUUAUACCACUGAUUCUUCUGAAUCUUAGGCCUUUGGACUUGGACUGGAACUAAACCAUCAGCUCUUCUUGUUCUACCACUUGCAGACUGUAUGUCUUGGGACAUGUCAGCCUCUGUAAUCACGCUCAAUUUUCCUACAUAAUUAAGAGUUUGGAAUUCGGGCAAUAUCAAGAACCACAUCUGUCCUGAAAUCAAUUAUCUCUGUUUGUUUCUCUUCUCCGUCUGCUUCUUCCUACCAGUGGCCAUGGUCCAUGCCUCCUUUACUACAUCAGAUCCACCUAGUCCCUGGACUAAUCAGAAACACAAGAAAUAAGAAGACCAUUUUGAGAAGAACAGAGAGUAGCCUUAAGAAAAUCCCUGUCGCAAGCACUCUGGGAUUUGGACUCAAAUGCUAAUUAUACAGAACCACUUGGGUGCCCAGCUGCUGUCCAUUCUCUACACUUAUCCCACCUGAUGGAAGGCUGUUAAGAAAAACAUCACUGCAAUGCCUAAUAAACAGACAUGGGUCCCAGACCCAAUAAGAGUGAAACCAUCCCCCUAUUUAAAUGAAAUUAUGGCUGAUGAGAAAGACAAAUUAAUUUCUCUGUCCCUAGUAUUACACAAAACUUUGGAUGCUGCCAUUGUUACAAUUUUAUUUUCCCCAGGAGCUCAGAGUCCCACCUUCAUUCUUUUUGUUUAAUGCUUAAGCUUGCCUGUCCACCUAUGGAAGACUAGAAUGAGCAAAGACCAUGUAUUCAAUGAUCUGUAAAUCUAACAGGAAACAAUAUAAUAAAUAUAUUGUGUUUGCUAACCAAA
This 1230-nucleotide long non-coding RNA is filed under the name Homo sapiens (human). RNAcentral describes it as "novel transcript". Lineage: Eukaryota; Metazoa; Chordata; Mammalia; Primates; Hominidae. The record is from RNAcentral.